RNAcentral lists this ribosomal RNA (440 nucleotides) under uncultured bacterium. RNAcentral describes it as "partial 16S ribosomal RNA". It matches the Rfam family "Bacterial small subunit ribosomal RNA", at positions 338 to 795 of the family's 1533-position model. The record is from RNAcentral.
CCUACGGGAGGCAGCAGUGGGGGAUAUUGCACAAUGGGGGGAACCCUGAUGCAGCGACGCCGCGUGGGUGAAGAAGCGCCUCGGCAUGUAAAGCUCUAUCAGCAGGGAAGAAAGUGACGGUACCUGAAGAAGAAGCCCCGGCUAACUACGUGCCAGCAGCCGCGGUAAUACGUAGGGGGCAAGCGUUAUCCGGAUUUACUGGGGGUAAAGGGGGCGCAGGCGGCGCUGCAAGCCAGGAGUGAAAGCCCGGGGCCCAACCCCGGGACUGCUUUUGAAACUGUGUGGCUGGAGUGUAGGAGGGGGAGGCGGAAUGCCUGGUGUAGCGGUGAAAUGCGUAGAUAUCAGGAGGAACGCCGGUGGCGAAGGCGGCCUGCUGGACGGCAACUGACGUUGAGGCUCGAAAGCGUGGGGAGCAAACAGGAUUAGAUACCCGGGUAGUC